CAGUAACAAUGGGGCAUUUCAUGCUAUCAGCAUUUCUGCUCUGUCUGGCUGGAAGUAUCCUUUGAACUGCUGAGUCUACUAAACCGAUGGUUAAAUUGGCUAAGCCCAAGCUAGAGUUUAAAUUCGGGGACAUCAUUAGGUUCCAUACAGGAACAGUUGGUAUAGGUGACAGCAGGUCAAGUGGAGAUCACUACGGCAUAGCCUUGGGUGAGGUCGAUGAGAAAGGAAAUGAGCUCUAUUUCCACAAAGUUGGCCAAGAUAGUUCAAACAGCCAUGGUGGACAGACUGGCUGUGUCACUAGUACACUGAAGAAAGACUCCCGUACUGCACGGCGUGUAGACAAUUACCAAGAUCAAGGGCAUGAGCUGACGGAGAAUGAAAAAAAAGCCAUCAGGAAAAGAUUUGAUGAAUGUAUGGCUUAUAAAGAUAUGGAGAAGAACAAACCCUGUUGUGGCGAAUUCAGCCUACUUGACAACAACUGUGAACACACUGCCACCUAUAUCCGCUAUGGGUCAGAUGGACGAGUCUCUUGCCAAGCUGCCGCCGUUAAACAACUUACCGGAAAUGCGUUCCCUACUAAGCUGUGUAAGAACAGGAGGAAGCAGUUCUGAAGAACAUUCAAGGCCACGCAAACAUUGGCGUGAUAGAGUAAAACCAAUGCUUUGAAUGAAUAAAG
Engraulis encrasicolus (European anchovy) is the source of this 676-nucleotide long non-coding RNA. RefSeq lists it as uncharacterized. The record is from RefSeq and is a predicted model, not a curated record. The transcript is spliced from 5 exons. NCBI's taxonomy places the organism in Eukaryota, Metazoa, Chordata, Actinopteri, Clupeiformes, Engraulidae.